GGUAUGACGCUCAUCUGACUGUCUCCAUCUUCCCAACAUCUCAGGAGCAACUGAAUUAUGGAUCCGCCUCUGUCGUGUGCUUCCUGAACAAAUUCUACCCCAACGAUUACAAAGUCCAGUGGAAGGUAGACAAUGUUGUUAAAGAGGUUGACGUAGUGGAAAGUUAUACAGAGCAGGACAGCACAGACAGCACCUGCAGCCUCAGCAGCACCCUGACGAUGACAAGUGCAGAGAAUAAAAGCAAUAAUGUCUAUACCUGCGAGGCCACACAUGACAUCCUGAGCUCACCUGUGGUCAAGAGCUUCAACAAGCAAGAGUGUUAG
Galeopterus variegatus (Sunda flying lemur) is the source of this 323-nucleotide non-coding RNA. The record is from the annotation of a RefSeq genome assembly. NCBI's taxonomy places the organism in Eukaryota, Metazoa, Chordata, Mammalia, Dermoptera, Cynocephalidae.